AGCGAACGCUGGCGGUAGGCCUAACACAUGCAAGUCGAACGGCAGCACAGUAAGAGCUUGCUCUUACGGGUGGCGAGUGGCGGACGGGUGAGGAAUAUAUCGGAAUCUACUUUUUCGUGGGGGAUAACGUAGGGAAACUUACGCUAAUACCGCAGACGACCUACGGGUGAAAGCAGGGGAUCUUCGGACCUUGCGCGAUUGAAUGAGCCGAUGUCGGAUUAGCUAGUUGGCGGGGUAAAUGCCCACCUAGGCGGCGAUCCGUAGCUGGUCUGGGAGGAUGAUCAGCCACAUUGGAACUGAGACACGGUCCAGACGCCUACGGGAGGCAGCAGUGGGGAAUGUUGGACAGUGGGCGCGAGCCUGAUCCAGUCAUACCGCGUGUGUGAAGAAGGCGUUCGGGUUGUAAAGCCCUUUUGUUGGUAAAGAAACGCAUCCGGUUAAUACCACGCUGUUCUGACGGUACCCAGAGAAUAAGCACCGGCUAACUUCGUG
RNAcentral lists this ribosomal RNA (492 nucleotides) under uncultured bacterium. RNAcentral's name for it is "partial 16S ribosomal RNA". It matches the Rfam family "Bacterial small subunit ribosomal RNA", at positions 29 to 507 of the family's 1533-position model. The record is from RNAcentral.